CAGCAGUAGCCACGGUAAUACGUAGGUGGCAAGCGUUGUCCGGAAUUAUUGGGCGUAAAGGGCUCGCAGGCGGUUUCUUAAGUCUGAUGUGAAAGCCCCCGGCUCAACCGGGGAGGGUCAUUGGAAACUGGGAAACUUGAGUGCAGAAGAGGAGAGUGGAAUUCCACGUGUAGCGGUGAAAUGCGUAGAGAUGUGGAGGAACACCAGUGGCGAAGGCGACUCUCUGGUCUGUAACUGACGCUGAGGAGCGAAAGCGUGGGGAGCGAACAGGAUUAGAUACCCCAGUAGUCCCUGUCUCUUAUAC
This 304-nucleotide ribosomal RNA is filed under the name uncultured bacterium. RNAcentral's name for it is "partial 16S ribosomal RNA". It matches the Rfam family "Bacterial small subunit ribosomal RNA", at positions 506 to 807 of the family's 1533-position model. The record is from RNAcentral.